UACGUAGGGGGCAAGCGUUGUCCGGAUUUAUUGGGCGUAAAGAGCGUGUAGGCGGCCUGACAGGUCUGCUGUGAAAACUCGGGGCUUAACUCCGGGCCUGCAGUGGGUACGGGCAGACUAGAGUGCGGUAGGGGAGACUGGAAUUCCUGGUGUAGCGGUGAAAUGCGCAGAUAUCAGGAGGAACACCGGUGGCGAAGGCGGGUCUCUGGGCCGUAACUGACGCUGAGGAGCGAAAGCGUGGGGAGCGAACAGG
This 253-nucleotide ribosomal RNA is filed under the name uncultured bacterium. Its description in RNAcentral is "partial 16S ribosomal RNA". It matches the Rfam family "Bacterial small subunit ribosomal RNA", at positions 524 to 776 of the family's 1533-position model. The record is from RNAcentral.